UCCCCCGUGGUGUAACCAGGCAGCACACGGUCUUUUGGUGGCCGCAGGUCAAGGUUCGAAUCCUUGCGGGGGAG
RNAcentral lists this transfer RNA (74 nucleotides) under Streptomyces boluensis. It matches the Rfam family "tRNA". From Rfam's summary of the family: Transfer RNA (tRNA) molecules are approximately 80 nucleotides in length. Their secondary structure includes four short double-helical elements and three loops (D, anti-codon, and T loops). Further hydrogen bonds mediate the characteristic L-shaped molecular structure. tRNAs have two regions of fundamental functional importance: the anti-codon, which is responsible for specific mRNA codon recognition, and the 3' end, to which the tRNAs corresponding amino acid is attached (by aminoacyl-tRNA synthetases). tRNAs cope with the degeneracy of the genetic code in two manners: having more than one tRNA (with a specific anti-codon) for a particular amino acid; and 'wobble' base-pairing, i.e. permitting non-standard base-pairing at the 3rd anti-codon position. Lineage: Bacteria; Bacillati; Actinomycetota; Actinomycetes; Kitasatosporales; Streptomycetaceae. The record is from Rfam by way of RNAcentral. RNAcentral also lists the same sequence under 1 other name.